Molecule: non-coding RNA, 5632 nt
Organism: Nomia melanderi (Alkali bee)
Lineage: Eukaryota; Metazoa; Arthropoda; Insecta; Hymenoptera; Halictidae
Source: RefSeq, a predicted model, not a curated record
GUUAGGACAGGAAAAAGGUUAGCGAGAAAACAAAUCACUCGAGAGUGAAAUAAUGAAACGAGACGAUUUUACCAGCAGUCGCCGUUGCACGUAUUUCAUCAGUUGUAUCUAUUUACUUACAUACUUACAAUUCGAACAGCGACGUUUCGAAAAGAAAACAUCGUAUCCGUCAAUAAAAUUUCGAUACCAACGAAAACACUGAACCAUGUUGGAAGAGUCAGCGAGCUUACAAUUGAUAUGUAUCUUGCGUGUCUUUCACAGCAUGUUUACAUUGUUCGGGAUAUGAUGCGUCACCGAAUUCGAGCGAGCUUGGUAUCCACGUGGGGAGGCGGCGGUGCACUCCAUAUACCAUUCUCUCUACAUGUUGGUCUCCUGACGGGUUCCAGCGGAGUUACAUAUCCGGGCAGACAGGCUUGUACCAAAAUUUCAGAGGGGCGAUUCGUCCGUGCGGUGGAUCACCCGGAUAAGGGCACCUUACUUUGCCUGGAAACAAGUCGCGGAAGGUUAGCCAACCCAGUACAAACCGCGGAGAGAAUCGCGUUCGUUCGAAGAGAAGCCCGUUGUUUCUACACUUACAAACUGGUGACGAGUGAGACCACGUCCCAUUUUCGGUACAAAUGAUGGAAGACUCGCCUAACAGUUGGUGACCCGGCAAACAAGCAUACAUAACGAGUGCGCCAACUUUGUGUACUCGAUCGCGAUGCUGUUUACUUCCCAAAUUGUGACGAGGGGUUUGUUCGAUGAUGCGUCCGCUUUCCGGUACCGAUGGUGCUGGGCAGCUAAUUUCUGGGGAACGAUUAUUACAGGCCCGUAUAACGUGGACAAGGAAUGAAAGGAAAAAGAAUGCAAGUGACCAGGGAUUACCAGCACAAGUCGGUACAUCUCCGCUCCACGAACCGUCUCCUUGACAUUCUACAGUUUCCGAACCCACAAGCUUGUGGCCCCACAUACAAGCGAACACGGCUUUACCGCCAAAAGUAUUGUUGUACUCGAGAAGCUGCAACCAAGAAUCGCUAAUCGCGUCCAGAGGUGGACAUUCGAUGGUAUCGCAUCGCGGCAUAUCGGCGGACCAUUUACCUACAAACAAUCGACGAUCGAUCAACCGUUUCUAAGAAUGUUGAAGACCCGCAGCACUUUCGUCGGAUCUCGUACCGUUGUACUGGCACGUUAUACCGGUAGCACCUUCUAAUCUGUAUCCGACCGGGCAUUCGAACACUGCUCCGUGUCCCAUUCGUGCACCUUCAAUUUUCCCGAGCAACGGUGGUUCCGGCAAGCUCAAGAUCGGGCAUUGAACGUCUGGAACGGCGCAUAGAUUUCGCUGUUAUUAUUUCUCGAGCGAUUCUCGUCUCUUCCUUCUUUCCUUCUACCGUGCAAAAAGGAAAAACGAACAGCAACGCUUACCAACAACGUGAACGCGAAUCGAAUUGGAUAAUCCACGGGGUGUGGAACACGUGUACACACCGGAAUCCUGAGCUUUCGCAUAAUAUAUGGACAGCCGGUAUUUCCAGUCUCUUUCUCGAGCGGCGAUCGCCCAUCCUGCAGCGAAUGGAAACCGCUACAAGGCAAUGUUCGUUGGGUUUCGGUGCUUCGCGAUUAUCUCUGCAUAUUUUCUGCUAGUUCUUUUCCCGAUUGUCCCGAGUCUGCAUACGUAGUCCCAUGCCGAGGACUCGUAUACCAAGCGAACGAGUAUACGAAUGAUUGAAAAUUCCCAUUUCCCAGAAUGAUCAACGAUUAACGUACCGCAGCUGGAUCCCACGAUAUCACCGACGGCACUUACUCACCGGUCAAGUACUGACGAAACGUCGAAGUCCACGUCCAUUCCGGAUUACCAAGUUUCCGGGCGAAAAGGCACUCCAAGUGAAGAAUGCUCCCCGGAAAGACCGCAAGGGUACCGGAUGGUUCCACGGCAGCCGAGCCGGCUGGCAGUCCAAACACGAUCGUGGGCGGUACGUCUUCUGUUUCUCCUCGAACAGUCAUCAGAGGAGAAUAACUAAACACAGGUAUCGGUCUCGUCUCCAUCAGGAGAACUUGAUUCCAUCGAAUCGUGUAACACGUUCAACGAAUUCGCAUACCAACUUAUCGUCUCUACGCUGAACGCAGCGGAUCAACGAACGUUGUUCCGGAUACGCCAGGGGAGAUUUCAUUGAAAUAGACACGAAACAGCCAUCGUUCGGCUUACUCACCGGUAUAAUUCGAAAUGGCCGUUGUCGGAACGCAGGAAGGUAGUUUUCCAUUCCAACUCGCAUUGCGGCAAUGUAGCAGAGAAUCACCGAUAAGCUUGUAUUUGCCAAGUUCUCUGCAUCUUACGGUCACACGUUCCCCGUGCGGUACAAUGAUCUUAUCCACCUAAAGCAACACACACGCACGCAGCCAGAUGCGCGACGUUUAAACACGUUCAUUCAACUGUAACGCGUUCUACGGUUUCAUCGUUCCACCGAUAAUAAUAUUUUAACAUGUUUUUCAUGAUACUUACAGCUAUCGUUAUGUUUUUGUAAGUAAUAAUCAAAAGCGGAUGGAGGCCUUCGAGUUUGCAGCUCUGCUGUAACCCGUCCGCGUCUGUAAGUCGAUGCAUACCUAUGAAUCACAUCGACGUACACUCGGACCGAUAUUCUACGCACAUUCGGCAAACAUUUUCUUUUUCUUCUUACAGAUCAUUUUGCACCGAUUGCAGUCGGGAGGUCAGCGAAAGCGUUACGCGUUUUAACCGCGUAAAAUGUUUCAUACGUUCAACUAUAAACGAACACUACUAUGUUUUACUCGUACAUUUUAUGAAAAGAUCAUUUCUUUCGUUUAAACGGUUAGUCGCAGUUCUCCGUAAAACUACCUCUGCUUGUUAGAAAUCGGUUUCGUUUGUGGUCAGUCUCAGUCACGGAUUUCAAAUGGCCGUCUUUACGCGUAUACCAAGGCGCAAAGGUCGGCAAACUAGUAAAAGUAAUAAUACACGGACAGAUAGAUGCUCGUUUCCCCGAACGCGCAGAUUUAUGUAUUCUCCAAAUCUAUUAACCCUUUGCAGCCCUAUGUUAAAACGAGUAUUACGCGGGUGUCGUUUGGAAAAUCUUACAAAUUACAUUUAUUUCUUCGCGCAUGCUCGGUGCGUUCAUAUCGAACGCUCGAUACAGUAUCAUCCACUGUCUAACCGUUUUCAAAAGCGUUCAGACGCCUCGUCAUCGAUCCGCUUUGGACCCUUGGGAAACAUUUGUCUCGGAAAAAUAUCUAUUCCCUUGAAAUUCGCCUGCCCGCUUAUUAUAUUAUCUUCUAUCCUUUUGAAAGCAUCGCGAGGAAUAAAUUUGACAAUGUUCUCUAUUUCUUUCUUUCUUCCUUUCUCUCUUCUUUCUCUCUACAAGUAUUUCUUGUUUAUUUUCCUUGUUCGAUGUAUACAAGUUUGAAUGUUGGUUCGUCCGUUUUGUCAGGACCAUAGAUGUAUCGAACGAAUAUGCUUGAAUAACGUGUCACACAGGGUUAAGAUACCAUCCGAAAGUUUCAUUUUUAUUGUCGUCUUAGUUCCGUGUUUCGUUUCUCGCGUAUUUCUCGAGAUGCCAAGAAUCGUGUUAUCAUUGCAAAACUACCGUUCAUUGUGAAAACUGACACGAGAUUGUAUACAUACAAAGAAAACGAUGAAAUGCACGAGACAUAGAAUUUAAGUACCUGUUUGACCCGCUUCACAGAAUCCGAUAAUUAGACCGAGCAAGAGGACAAACCAUCUCGUCGUCAGUAUCGCGCGAAACACACUCUCGAGCAAUUUCCUCCUGCUUUCCUUCUCGAUGGACAUACUGUUGGUCAUCAUACAUCAGAGCGAUAUCCUGUUCGAGUUACCACACUGGAACCUCGUUUCGAUGCUGUUCGUGCACCGAAAAUCGCUCGAAUUUUCAUACGUUGAAAUAUAGCUCAUUUUUGCUUUCGGCAUGUCGUUUCAUAUGCACAACGGCACAACAGCACAACAAUCGAUACCGACAGUUGAACGCGGUGUCUGAUUCACUGGAAAACGGAACAGAUCGAUCAGCGGAAGGGUAUUCAUCGUCCAGGAAGGAAAUUUUGAUCGGACAAUUUCGAAGGGAACGUAUACGUACGUGUCGCCCAACUUCUACUUGAUCGUCCAACGAUCAACGGCAAGAGCAACGUCCCUACUAACUUCAUCCCUAACGUUCCUAAACGAUAUCUACCAUCGCCACCUCCGCCUCCUCCGCCACCUUCGCCACCUCCGGCAACUUGGUCACUUUCUCCGGUGCUAUUUCUGUCAUAGCUGUCUCUUGUAUUAUCACUACGAAUGCCGAUGGAACGAGACGAAUAAGAGAAUCGGCGGGGUGGAUAGAAAAAUUCAAGUUACAAGCGGUUUUAGGUUUUCCUAAUUUCUCGAAUUUUUCGAAAUUACUUUCCGUUUGUUUGCCAAAUAGGCUGAACGAAUGUUCGUGUCGCGGAUCGAUCGCGACAGAGCAGUGGUAGCAUUUCAGAAACGGCGGGUUGUCGAAUAAAAGGAAGACGGUGCAAACCGAAAGACCCUGGAUAAACGAUCGCUACAGAAUUCAGCUAGUCAUGACGCUCUGUUUUUUUUUCAUUUAGAAAGCUCUGGUUGCUCUAGGCGAGUAGCAACAGUAGUGGUACUAGUAGUAGCAAUAGUAGCAGUAGUAGUAGUAGCCCGAAUUAGGUACCAACUGGGAGCUCGCGAGCCGCCCCAUAGUGAUAUUCCCCUCGCGAAAAGUUACCUUCACCAUACCUACUUUUACCUAUUGUAUCCGACAGUACGUACAACUGCUCGUAUACACAACCGCGGGCAGUUCCUCUGGUAGAGGGAACGGGGAAUGCUGUUUUCGAGUUACUAGCGCGAGGAGAGUAACUUUGACACCAUUCAAAUAGCCUGUAUUUGGUCAUUUCACCUAGUAACUUAUUCAACUGAUUUAUACCAGUUACUUCACCUAGGUGUCGCGCGGGUUCGCCAUUGCGUUUCCGCGGAUUCGUACAGUCCGUAGAGUACAGUCUCUACGUAGCUCAAAUCUGUGUGUUUUAUCGUAAAGUAUACGAGUCUCGCGAUAAAAGACGUCAGGAAAGCAAUUCUGUAGCUGUGUUGCGGUCUCAUAAACCAUACAAUAGAAUAUUUCUCAACUAUUUUCAGACCAACGAUUAGUCUGCUCUCCUCGACAUGUCUAACGAAGCGAAUAACUGUUGUCGAGAACGGCGUAACCUUGUCGUAUCAGCGUUAUUCGAUAUCUCAAAACAAGUACCGAGUCGCGUCAUCAGCUGGAGAGUUUGGCGGUCGGUUACUCUCGAAUGUCGACAAGUUGCCGACGACUGUAUAAGUUAUCCUUAUCGGUUUAUUACCGACAGCAGAGCAAAUGUCAAACGUGAAAACCCAAAGUAUGCAGUUUACUGAUUAGUAAUUAAAAAAAAAAGAAAUUUGACGGAAAAUAAUUAUCAACACUUAUAUGGGACAACGUCCUGGUUUUUCCAGAUAUACAAAUCAAUCGUUCGAAAAAUGAUACCAACUUCGUCCAUUACAUUAUGCUAGUAAAGUGGGUUCAUUUCUGGUAUUCGUAUUGUAUUGUUCGUGAAAAGUGUGAAUUCCAUUUUAUAUUCUGAUCGAUGUCUAUAAGAAAUUUCGUGCGUAUACCAAUAUGUAAUAUUGGGAGAAAAGAAUAAA